This 253-nucleotide ribosomal RNA is filed under the name uncultured bacterium. RNAcentral describes it as "partial 16S ribosomal RNA". It matches the Rfam family "Bacterial small subunit ribosomal RNA", at positions 524 to 776 of the family's 1533-position model. The record is from RNAcentral.
UACAGAGGGUGCGAGCGUUAAUCGGAGUUACUGGGCGUAAAGGGCGCGUAGGCGGUUGUUUAAGAUUGAUGUGAAAUCCCUGGGCUUAACCUAGGAAGUGCAUCGAUGACUGGACAGCUAGAGUAUUGUAGAGGGUGGCGGAAUUUCCGGUGUAGCGGUGAAAUGCGUAGAGAUCGGAAAGAACACCAGUGGCGAAGGCGGCCACCUGGACAAAUACUGACGCUGAGGCGCGAAAGCGUGGGGAGCAAACAGG